CGGAGUAGCUCAGUUGGUAGAGCGCCUCACUUGUAAUGAGGAUGUCGCGGGUUCAACUCCUGUCUCCG
RNAcentral lists this transfer RNA (68 nucleotides) under Cardiobacterium hominis. It matches the Rfam family "tRNA". Rfam says of the family: Transfer RNA (tRNA) molecules are approximately 80 nucleotides in length. The record is from RNAcentral. Lineage: Bacteria; Pseudomonadati; Pseudomonadota; Gammaproteobacteria; Cardiobacteriales; Cardiobacteriaceae. RNAcentral also lists the same sequence under 1 other name.